GCCAGGCGUGGUGGCGGGCGCCUGUAAUCCCAGCUUCUAGGGAGGCUGAGGCAGGAGAAUCGCUUGAACCCAGGAGGCAGAGGUUGCAGUGAGCCGAGAUCAUGCCACUGCACUCCAGCCUGGGCAACACAGCAAGACUCUGUCUCAA
This 148-nucleotide non-coding RNA is filed under the name Nomascus leucogenys (northern white-cheeked gibbon). The record is from Rfam by way of RNAcentral. Lineage: Eukaryota; Metazoa; Chordata; Mammalia; Primates; Hylobatidae.